This is a non-coding RNA of Varanus komodoensis (Komodo dragon), 170 nucleotides long. Ensembl annotates it as small Cajal body-specific RNA 16. The record is from Ensembl. NCBI's taxonomy places the organism in Eukaryota, Metazoa, Chordata, Lepidosauria, Squamata, Varanidae.
AUGGGCUAGGAAAUGGUGGCUGUGUAGCUGGGCCUCUUGGGGUUCAGCCUUGUACCUGCUAGCCUGACCUUGCCCUAGAUUAAAUGAGAACUUGGGGUUUGCCCUCUGCAGUAACAGGUGUGAGCAUUCUACCAGUAGAUAGAUGGUCAUGUAUGAUACUGCAUACAGUU